GCCUGGGUGGCUCAGUCGGUUGAGCGUCCGACUUCGGCUCAGGUCACGAUCUCGCGGUUUGUGGGUUCGAGCCCCACGUCGGGCU
Molecule: transfer RNA, 85 nt
Filed under: Felis catus (domestic cat)
Lineage: Eukaryota; Metazoa; Chordata; Mammalia; Carnivora; Felidae
Rfam family: tRNA
About the family: Transfer RNA (tRNA) molecules are approximately 80 nucleotides in length. Their secondary structure includes four short double-helical elements and three loops (D, anti-codon, and T loops).
Source: Rfam by way of RNAcentral